Long non-coding RNA from Onychostoma macrolepis, 1218 nucleotides. RefSeq lists it as uncharacterized. Lineage: Eukaryota; Metazoa; Chordata; Actinopteri; Cypriniformes; Cyprinidae. The transcript has 3 exons. The record is from RefSeq and is a predicted model, not a curated record.
CUGUUUCUUACAUGUCACUCCGGACUACAGUUCCCAUCAUCCAUUGCACUGAUUACACACACACAGCUGAAUGCACUGAUCACACAUACACAGCUGAAUCCAGUAAGACACGCUUUAUAAGCCUUGGACUUCCUCUUUCUCACUGCUGAGUAUUGUUGAGUGUAGCCAUUCCAAGUUUCUGGUCCUAGUUUAAGUCUAGUCAUUUCGUGUUGUCUGGUUCCUGAUCUUCUGCCUGUGUAUCUUGGAUUAACCCUUUGCCUGCUGUUUCGGACUGUCCUUGCAUAUGGAUCCUCACGUCUCGUUCGCCCCGUAACAGUUGGCUCUGUGACAGAUUAUGUUCCUAUAUUCUUCCAUGCUGAUGGCCGUGCAGCAUAGUUGGAGGGGACCUCUUGUCGAAGAACAUCUCCAAAGCACUAUAAACCAUCUGACUAGGCUGUUCGUGAAGACCAAUAAUCAAGAGCUGUGGUGACGACCUGGACCGAAUUCAGAUCCACCCUCCACACCAGACUUCUCACUCCCAAGAAUUGCUGUCUAGUAGCAUAUUGUGAUCUCUUCAGAGUUAGCUGCAUGCAGAUAUUACUUGAUCGUAGAUAUAAUUAAUACUUGAAUAUUGCAAAAAUAGGGAAUGUAUGUUAUUUAAAAAUUGUUAAUUGCUUAAAUAUUAAAGCACCUAAAAGCCAUUUCACACUUGCCAUACUCCAACAGGGUGACUGCACUGACCAAACAAAACAAGGUGUUUUUUUUUUUAUUGUUUUUGUGGCAGUGUGAAAUGACCAUAAUGCUGUAUGUUAGGUGUGAGAGUCAUUAAACUUGGUUUGCUAUAAUGCAUCUAUUCAUAAGUGAUAUCUUUGUCAAAGUAUUCUUUCAGUGGUUAACUAACUCGUUAAGACCGUCCCUUGCUCCCACCUACUGGCAUAACGAUGUAACCUGCAAUGAAAGAAGCCCAGGCAUGAUUUUGUUUUUAUUUUUUGCAUAUGAUUUCCAAUUAAUUAUUGGCAGUGGGUUGGUUAAGGGCCUGAUUAGCUGAUGUAUUACAAUGCUUGCUUCGGGUUGAAUAGGGGAUCAUGUAAUUAGCUGAGAAAUUGUGCAUUGUUAAUGGUAGCUCUUAAAUUUAAAUUCAGUGUGUUGAAUGCCUACUAAGGCUUGCAUAUUUGUGCAUAAUGCAAAAUAAAGUUUUGCUUGUUCAUGCUGAACUGGUGUUAAUGUACUCUUUGUCAA